UAGGGAAUCUUCGGCAAUGGGGGCAACCCUGACCGAGCAACGCCGCGUGAGUGAAGAAGGUUUUCGGAUCGUAAAGCUCUGUUGUAAGAGAAGAACGUGUGUGAGAGUGGAAAGUUCACACAGUGACGGUAACUUACCAGAAAGGGACGGCUAACUACGUGCCAGCAGCCGCGGUAAUACGUAGGUCCCGAGCGUUGUCCGGAUUUAUUGGGCGUAAAGCGAGCGCAGGCGGUUUAAUAAGGCUGAAGUUAAAGGCAGUGGCUUAACCAUUGUUCGCUUUGGAAACUGUUAAACUUGAGUGCAGAAGGGGAGAGUGGAAUUCCAUGUGUAGCGGUGAAAUGCGUAGAUAUAUGGAGGAACACCGGUGGCGAAAGCGGCUCUCUGGUCUGUAACUGACGCUGAGGGUCGAAAGGGUGGGGAGCAAACAGG
Molecule: ribosomal RNA, 429 nt
Filed under: bacterium
Lineage: Bacteria
Description: partial 16S ribosomal RNA
Rfam family: Bacterial small subunit ribosomal RNA
Source: RNAcentral